Molecule: ribosomal RNA, 253 nt
Filed under: uncultured bacterium
Lineage: Bacteria
Description: partial 16S ribosomal RNA
Rfam family: Bacterial small subunit ribosomal RNA
Source: RNAcentral
UACGGGGGGAGCAAGCGUUGUUCGGAUUUACUGGGCGUAAAGGGCGCGUAGGCGGCGUGACAAGUCACUUGUGAAAUCUCCGGGCUUAACUCGGAACGGUCAAGUGAUACUGUCGUGCUAGAGUACAGAAGGGGCAACUGGAAUUCUCGGUGUAGCGGUGAAAUGCGUAGAUAUCGAGAGGAACACCUGCGGCGAAGGCGGGUUGCUGGGCUGAUACUGACACUGAGAGACGAAAGCUAGGGGAGCGAAUGGG